Molecule: ribosomal RNA, 460 nt
Filed under: uncultured bacterium
Lineage: Bacteria
Description: partial 16S ribosomal RNA
Rfam family: Bacterial small subunit ribosomal RNA
Source: RNAcentral
CCUACGGGAGGCAGCAGUGAGGAAUAUUGGUCAAUGGACGAGAGUCUGAACCAGCCAAGUAGCGUGAAGGAUGACUGCCCUAUGGGUUGUAAACUUCUUUUAUAUGGGAAUAAAAUGAUCCACGUGUGGGAUUUUGUAUGUACCAUAUGAAUAAGGAUCGGCUAACUCCGUGCCAGCAGCCGCGGUAAUACGGAGGAUCCGAGCGUUAUCCGGAUUUAUUGGGUUUAAAGGGAGCGUAGGUGGAUUGUUAAGUCAGUUGUGAAAGUUUGCGGCUCAACCGUAAAAUUGCAGUUGAAACUGGCAGUCUUGAGUACAGUAGAGGUGGGCGGAAUUCGUGGUGUAGCGGUGAAAUGCUUAGAUAUCACGAAGAACUCCGAUUGCGAAGGCAGUUCACUGGACUGAAACUGACACUGAGGCUCGAAAGUGUGGGUAUCAAACAGGAUUAGAUACCCUUGUAGUC